CAGCCGCCGCGGGAAUACGAAGGGUGCAAGCGUUACUCGGAAUUACUGGGCGUAAAGCGUGCGUAGGUGGUGGUUUAAGUCCGUUGUGAAAGCCCUGGGCUCAACCUGGGAAUUGCAGUGGAUACUGGGUCACUAGAGUGUGGUAGAGGAUAGUGGAAUUUCCGGUGUAGCAGUGAAAUGCGUAGAGAUCGGAAGGAACAUCUGUGGCGAAGGCGACUAUCUGGGCCAACACUGACACUGAGGCACGAAAGCGUGGGGAGCAAACAGGAUUAGAUACCCCGGUAGUCCCUGUCUCUUAACA
This 301-nucleotide ribosomal RNA is filed under the name uncultured bacterium. Its description in RNAcentral is "partial 16S ribosomal RNA". It matches the Rfam family "Bacterial small subunit ribosomal RNA", at positions 509 to 808 of the family's 1533-position model. The record is from RNAcentral.